CUGACAGGCACAUAUACAAAAACUGGAAUGAUACAGAGAUUAGCGUGGCCCCUGCGCACGGACGACAUGCAAAUUCACGAAGUGCUCCAUGUUCUG
Molecule: small nuclear RNA, 96 nt
Organism: Vicugna pacos (alpaca)
Lineage: Eukaryota; Metazoa; Chordata; Mammalia; Artiodactyla; Camelidae
Source: Ensembl